GGCCUUAUAGUUUAUAUUGAACAGCAAAUUGCAGCUUUGAAAGAGGGGUUUUUCCUGAGGCUU
Molecule: transfer RNA, 63 nt
Filed under: Mya arenaria
Lineage: Eukaryota; Metazoa; Mollusca; Bivalvia; Myida; Myidae
Description: tRNA-Cys
Source: RNAcentral